This 472-nucleotide ribosomal RNA is filed under the name uncultured bacterium. RNAcentral's name for it is "partial 16S ribosomal RNA". It matches the Rfam family "Bacterial small subunit ribosomal RNA", at positions 28 to 507 of the family's 1533-position model. The record is from RNAcentral.
GACGAACGCUGGCGGCGUGCUUAACACAUGCCAGUCGAACGCUGAAGCUUGGUGCUUGCCCUGGGUGGAUGAGUGGCGAACGGGUGAGUAAUACGUGAGUAACCUGCCCUUGACUCUGGGAUAAGCCUGGGAAACUGGGUCUAAUACUGGAUACGACAUGUCACCGCAUGGUGGUGUGUGGAAAGGGUUUUACUGGUUUUGGAUGGGCUCACGGCCUAUCAGCUUGUUGGUGGGGUAAUGGCUCACCAAGGCGACGACGGGUAGCCGGCCUGAGAGAGUGACCGGCCACACUGGGACUGAGACACGGCCCAGACUCCUACGGGAGGCAGCAGUGGGGAAUAUUGCACAAUGGGCGGAAGCCUGAUGCAGCGACGCCGCGUGAGGGAUGACGGCCUUCGGGUUGUAAACCUCUUUCAGCACGGAAGAAGCGAAAGUGACGGUACGUGCAGAAGAAGCGCCGGCUAACUACGUG